This 428-nucleotide unclassified non-coding RNA is filed under the name Pectobacterium carotovorum. Its description in RNAcentral is "partial contains 16S ribosomal RNA, 16S-23S ribosomal RNA intergenic spacer, and 23S ribosomal RNA; also contains tRNA-Glu gene". The stretch from base 267 to 400 matches the Rfam family "Salmonella enterica Typhi npcRNA 44". Lineage: Bacteria; Pseudomonadati; Pseudomonadota; Gammaproteobacteria; Enterobacterales; Pectobacteriaceae. The record is from RNAcentral.
UGGAUGAGCUCCUUACCUGUAAGAACCUGCCUUUGUAGUGUCCACACAGAUUGUCUGAUGAAAAGUAAAUAGCAAGGCGUCUUGCGAUUGAGACUUCAGUGUCCCCUUCGUCUAGAGGCCCAGGACACCGCCCUUUCACGGCGGUAACAGGGGUUCGAAUCCCCUAGGGGACGCCACUUGCUGGUUUGUGAGUGAAAGUCGCCGACCUCUGUAUCUCAAAGCUGAUUGCGCUGUGUAAACAGUCAGUCAUGUUUGAGAUAUUUGCUCUUUAAAAAUCUGGAUCAAGCUGAAAAUUGAAACGACACACUGUGUCUGCUCUCCGUAAUAAGAGCAGAUGAGCGGUGUGUUCGAGUCUCUCAAAUUUUCGCAACACUGCGGGUGUUUUACGAAACAUCUUCGGGUUGUGAGGUUAAGCGACUAAGCGUACA